Molecule: ribosomal RNA, 492 nt
Filed under: uncultured bacterium
Lineage: Bacteria
Description: partial 16S ribosomal RNA
Rfam family: Bacterial small subunit ribosomal RNA
Source: RNAcentral
AUUGAACGCUGGCGGCAGGCCUAACACAUGCAAGUCGAGCGGAAGCAGAGUGCUUGCUCCUGCUUUCGGGGGGGGAGGGGCGGGUAAUGCCUAGGAACAUGGCUGUCUGUGGGGGCUAACGUCCGAACGCGGGCGAUCAUACCGCAAUAGCCCAGAGGGCGAACGGGGGGGAGCAUGGGAUCUCACGACCUCAGGUGAGCCAAGGAGGCGAUGUCGGAUUAGCGAGUUGGUGGGGUAAAGGCCCACCAAGGCGACGAUCCGUAGCUGGUCUGAGAGGAUGAUCAGCCACACUGGAACUGAGACACGGUCCAGACUCCUACGGGAGGCAGCAGUGGGGAAUAUUGGACAAUGGGCGAAAGCCUGAUCCAGCCAUGCCGCGUGUGUGAAGAAGGUCUUCGGAUUGUAAAGCCCUUUUAUUUGGGAAGAAGAGCAGUAGGUUAAUACCUUGCUGUUUUGACGUUACCAACAGAAUAAGCACCGGCUAACUUCGUG